This 440-nucleotide ribosomal RNA is filed under the name uncultured bacterium. RNAcentral describes it as "partial 16S ribosomal RNA". It matches the Rfam family "Bacterial small subunit ribosomal RNA", at positions 338 to 795 of the family's 1533-position model. The record is from RNAcentral.
CCUACGGGCGGCAGCAGUGGGGAAUAUUGCACAAUGGGGGGAACCCUGAUGCAGCGACGCCGCGUGGGUGAAGGAGUAUUUCGGUAUGUAAAGCCCUAUCAGCAGGGAAGAACAAUGACGGUACCUUACUAAGAAGCACCGGCUAAAUACGUUCCAGCAGCCGCGGUAAUACGGAGGAUGCGAGCGUUAUCCGGAUUUAUUGGGUUUAAAGGGUGCGCAGGCGGCCUGUUAAGUCAGCGGUAACAGCCCGGUGCUCAACCCCGGCGAGCCGUUGAAACUGGCGGGCUGGAGUUGGAGAGAAGUACGCGGAAUGCGCGGUGUAGCGGGGAAAUGCUUAGAUAUCGCGCAGAACCCCGAUUGCGAAGGCAGCGUACCGGCUCCACACUGACGCUGAGGCACGAAAGCGUGGGUAUCGAACAGGAGUAGAUACCCUUGGAGUC